UAAUACGUAGGGUGCAGGCGUUAAUCGGAAUUACUGGGCGUAAAGCGUGCGCAGGCGGUCUGUUAAGAGAGAUGUGAAAUCCCCGGGCUUAACCUGGGAACUGCGUUUCUAACUGGCAGGCUUGAGUGUGGCAGAGGGGGGUGGAAUUCCACGUGUAGCAGUGAAAUGCGUAGAGAUGUGGAGGAACACCGAUGGCGAAGGCAGCCCCCUGGGCUAACACUGACGCUCAUGCACGAAAGCGUGGGGAGCAAACAGGAUUAGAUACCCUGGUAGUCCACGCCCUAAACUAUGUCAACUGGUUGUCGGGGAAGCAAUUCCUUGGUAACGAAGCUAACGCGUGAAGUUGACCGCCUGGGGAGUACGGCCGCAAGGUU
RNAcentral lists this ribosomal RNA (374 nucleotides) under uncultured bacterium. RNAcentral describes it as "bacterial SSU rRNA". It matches the Rfam family "Bacterial small subunit ribosomal RNA", at positions 521 to 895 of the family's 1533-position model. The record is from RNAcentral.